UGCGUAGGCGGUUAGUUAAGUCAGUUGUUAAAGCCCAUGGCUUACCCAUGGAACAGCAAUUGAUACUGUCUGACUAGAGGGCAAGAGAGAGGAGUGGAAUUCUCGGAGUAGCGGUAAAAUGCGUAGAUCUCGAGAGGAACACCGAUGGCGAAGGCAGCUCCUUGGCUUGUCCCUGACGCUGAGGCACGAAAGCGUGGGGAGCAAACAGGAUUAGAUACCCUGGUAGUCC
RNAcentral lists this ribosomal RNA (229 nucleotides) under uncultured bacterium. RNAcentral's name for it is "partial 16S ribosomal RNA". It matches the Rfam family "Bacterial small subunit ribosomal RNA", at positions 568 to 796 of the family's 1533-position model. The record is from RNAcentral.